UGCAUAACUCCAUUCUCAUGACACAUCCUGACAACCUCAGCUAUCGUUCUGGCAACAUUUGCCGCCGCUCUCUCACUGUAAUGCCCUCUGGCCACUAUCCUGUCGAAAAGCUCCCCUCCCUCGCAUAACUCCAUUACCAAAUGCACGUUUUCAUUGUCCUCGUAAGUCGCCUUCAGCUUCACUACAUUCGGGUGGUCCGGUAAACUGGACAUAAUCGCGACUUCCCUUCUCACGUCCUCUAUGUCCACCGCCGUCCGUAGUUUUCGCUUGGAAAUCGACUUGCAUGCCAACGCAUCUUUAGUCUCUCGGUCAGUACACAAAUAAGUGAUGCCGAAUUCUCCCCGGCCGAGUUCUCGCCCCAGGAUGUACUUGUCGCCGAUCUGAGGCCGGUGACUGAGUGGGAUCACGUCUUUCAAUACCCGGAUCGGAGCAGCCGGGGAUUGGAUAGAUUCUUCAGCGUAGGGAUUGGGCGUCCGCUCUUUAGACUUCUUCUUGCGUCUGUGAUUAGUACGGUGCGUCUCGGAGUCAGGGCUGGAGUCUGGUCUCACACAGGCGUUACAGUUUCCCAUGCUCUGUGUUGCUUAAAAGGCUUGAGAGAAAACAAAACAAAACAAAAAGGAAGACAGGCGCAAGUUGGUUCUGGGUCGUGACGAGAGAUGGGUUUUGGCCUUUCUGGGCGGUGAGCGGUGGUGUAGAAGGUCCGGCAGGAAAUGAUUGGGUUAAGUGGGAUGAAGAGGGACGAGGGGGGAGAAGAAAACGCGGGUUCAGUUGAGAAAAAGUGGGCCGUUUGAAAAAUCAGUGUAAUCACUAAUCGCCUUCUUCUAUGGUUAAUGAGACUUUGGUUAAUAUAUUUACCAAAAAAUUAUCUAUUGGUACAUAAG
Molecule: unclassified non-coding RNA, 881 nt
Filed under: Hevea brasiliensis (rubber tree)
Lineage: Eukaryota; Viridiplantae; Streptophyta; Magnoliopsida; Malpighiales; Euphorbiaceae
Source: RNAcentral